RNAcentral lists this ribosomal RNA (301 nucleotides) under uncultured bacterium. Its description in RNAcentral is "partial 16S ribosomal RNA". It matches the Rfam family "Bacterial small subunit ribosomal RNA", at positions 509 to 807 of the family's 1533-position model. The record is from RNAcentral.
CAGCAGCCGCGGUAAUACGAAGGGGGCUAGCGUUGUUCGGAUUUACUGGGCGUAAAGCGCACGUAGGCGGACUUUUAAGUCAGGGGUGAAAUCCCUGGGCUCAACCCCGGAACUGCCUUUGAUACUGGAAGUCUUGAGUAUGGUAGAGGUGAGUGGAAUUCCGAGUGUAGAGGUGAAAUUCGUAGAUAUUCGGAGGAACACCAGUGGCGAAGGCGGCUCACUGGACCAUUACUGACGCUGAGGUGCGAAAGCGUGGGGAGCAAACAGGAUUAGAUACCCCGGUAGUCCCUGUCUCUUAUAC